RNAcentral lists this ribosomal RNA (443 nucleotides) under uncultured bacterium. RNAcentral describes it as "partial 16S ribosomal RNA". It matches the Rfam family "Bacterial small subunit ribosomal RNA", at positions 338 to 795 of the family's 1533-position model. The record is from RNAcentral.
CCUACGGGUGGCAGCAGUGGGGAAUAUUGGUCAAUGGGCGCAAGCCUGACCCAGCAACGCCGCGUGAAGGAAGAAGGCUUUCGGGUUGUAAACUUCUUUUCUCAGGGACGAAGAAAGUGACGGUACCUGAGGAAUAAGCCACGGCUAACUACGUGCCAUCAGCCGCGGUAAUACGUAGGUGGCAAGCGUUAUCCGGAUUUAUUGGGUGUAAAGGGCGUGUAGGCGGGAGCGCAAGUCAGAUGUGAAAACUCAGGGCUCAACCCUGAGCCUGCAUUUGAAACUGUGUUUCUUAAGUGCUGGAGAGGUAAGCGGAAUUCGGGGUGUAGCGGUGAAAUGCGUAGAUAUCACGAGGAACACCAGUGGCGAAGGCAGAUUGCUGGACAGUGACUGACGCUGAGGCGCGAAAGCGUGGGGAGCAAACAGGAUUAGAUACCCGUGUAGUC